UUCAUACAUCUUGCAGACAACUUGAGGCAUCCGUAAAUCCUCAAUUGUUGUAAAGAGGUCAGCAAAUGCAUUCCCUCAGGCAGCGAUGUCAAACUAGGGCAAUCAGAAAUUUUUAGCCGUUGAAGUUUUGUGAGGUUGCCUAUCCAAUCUGAUAAAGCCAUCAAACUUGAACAACCAUUGAUAGUGAGCUCUUGCAGGUUUGUAACAAAUUGAAGCCCCUUUGGUAGAG
Molecule: unclassified non-coding RNA, 229 nt
Filed under: Hevea brasiliensis (rubber tree)
Lineage: Eukaryota; Viridiplantae; Streptophyta; Magnoliopsida; Malpighiales; Euphorbiaceae
Source: RNAcentral